This 735-nucleotide ribosomal RNA is filed under the name uncultured Cyanobium sp. RNAcentral describes it as "bacterial SSU rRNA". It matches the Rfam family "Bacterial small subunit ribosomal RNA", at positions 781 to 1515 of the family's 1533-position model. The record is from RNAcentral. Lineage: Bacteria; Bacillati; Cyanobacteriota; Cyanophyceae; Synechococcales; Prochlorococcaceae.
GAUACCCCUGUAGUCCUGGCCGUAAACGAUGAACACUAGGUGUCGGGGGAAUCGACCCCCUCGGUGUCGUAGCCAACGCGUUAAGUGUUCCGCCUGGGGAGUACGCACGCAAGUGUGAAACUCAAAGGAAUUGACGGGGGCCCGCACAAGCGGUGGAGUAUGUGGUUUAAUUCGAUGCAACGCGAAGAACCUUACCAGGGUUUGACAUCCUGCGAAUCUUUUGGAAACAGAAGAGUGCCUUCGGGAACGCAGUGACAGGUGGUGCAUGGCUGUCGUCAGCUCGUGUCGUGAGAUGUUGGGUUAAGUCCCGCAACGAGCGCAACCCACGUCUUUAGUUGCCAGCAUUCAGUUGGGCACUCUAGAGAGACCGCCGGUGAUAAACCGGAGGAAGGUGUGGAUGACGUCAAGUCAUCAUGCCCCUUACAUCCUGGGCUACACACGUACUACAAUGCUACGGACAAAGGGCAGCAAACUCGCGAGAGCUAGCAAAUCCCAUAAACCGUGGCUCAGUUCAGAUCGUAGGCUGCAACUCGCCUACGUGAAGGAGGAAUCGCUAGUAAUCGCAGGUCAGCAUACUGCGGUGAAUACGUUCCCGGGCCUUGUACACACCGCCCGUCACACCAUGGAAGUUGGCCACGCCCGAAGCCGUUACUCCAACCCUUGUGGAGGAGGACGUCGAAGGUGGGGCUGAUGACUGGGGUGAAGUCGUAACAAGGUAGCCGUACCGGAAGGUGC